RNAcentral lists this transfer RNA (47 nucleotides) under Phyllocoptes taishanensis. Its description in RNAcentral is "tRNA-Tyr". Lineage: Eukaryota; Metazoa; Arthropoda; Arachnida; Trombidiformes; Eriophyidae. The record is from RNAcentral.
UGCAAUUAUCAGGAAUUGUAAAUUCCUAAAAGGUCUACCAAUUGCAU